RNAcentral lists this ribosomal RNA (479 nucleotides) under uncultured bacterium. Its description in RNAcentral is "partial 16S ribosomal RNA". It matches the Rfam family "Bacterial small subunit ribosomal RNA", at positions 28 to 507 of the family's 1533-position model. The record is from RNAcentral.
GAUGAACGCUGGCGGCGUGCUUAACACAUGCAAGUCGAACGAAGCACCUUGAUUUGAUUCUUCGGAUGAAGAUCUUGGUGACUGAGUGGCGGACGGGUGAGUAACGCGUGGGUAACCUGUCUCAUACAGGGGGAUAACAGUUAGAAAGGACUGCUAAUACCGCAUAAGACCACAGCACCGCAUGGUGCAGGGGUAAAAACUCCGGGGGUAUGGGAUGGACUCGCGUCUGAUUAGGUAGUUGGUAGGGUAACGGCAUACCAAGCAGAGGAUCAGUGGCCGAGCUGAGAGGGUGACCCGCCACGUUGGGGCUGAGGCACGGACCAAACUCGGACGGGAGGGUGGAGAGGGUAAUAUUGCAGAAGGGGGGAAAACCUGAUGCAGCGGCGCCGCGUGAGCGAUGAAGUAUUUCGGUAUGUAAAGCUCUAUCAGCAGGGAAGAAAAUGACGGUACCUGACUAAGAAGCACCGGCUAACUACGUG